This is a long non-coding RNA of Camelus dromedarius (Arabian camel), 701 nucleotides long. RefSeq lists it as uncharacterized. NCBI's taxonomy places the organism in Eukaryota, Metazoa, Chordata, Mammalia, Artiodactyla, Camelidae. The record is from RefSeq and is a predicted model, not a curated record. The transcript is spliced from 3 exons.
UAUUACGAUAUUCUCUGCUUUUUUUUUUCUUUUUUUAGAGGAUCUAUAUAAGAAAUAUCUGUGCGAAUGGCUUAUCUAUGCCUGCCACAAACCUGCAAUUGAAAACCUUUUCUAUUAGAUUACCUAAUGACCCUUAUGUAAGGGCCUGGAUGAUAAAUUUCUCUGUUUCCAGGAAGAAGUUUGCUUCUGCAGUCCCUGUACUUCCCAGGAGGCUCCUGAUUUUAGCAUCCUGAGCACUGCAGGAAGAUGACAGGCAUCCUAUCCAAGGACCAUGCUCCUCCAAGGAUGGUCUUCAGGCCAGCAGCAGAAGCAUCACCUGGGAGCUUCUGACAAGUGCAGAACUGAGGCGCACCCAGACCUGCUGAAUUCAACUCUGCAGAAGCCAAGUCUCUGGUCUGCUGUUUUGAUCCAAGCUCUUGUACACCAGAUACUCCAUCACUGUCUUGGAACAGAGGAGUCAGGUAUCCAUCACAGGUAACAGAUGAGUAGGUCAAACAGAAACAUGUCUACUACUGUAAUUAAUUAUUAAUGCCUUCUACCAGUAUGGUACUUGCUUCUGGGCUCAGAAGGGCACCCCUAGAUAUUUAACCAAUGUGUAAGAGUACUUUUAGAUGAAGUUGAUACCCUCAGCUUCAUGGUUUUAACCUUCAUGCAGGCAAGACGUGGAAAUCUUUGUAACCAGAUGCAUGUAUUUCUAAAAC